GCUUGUCUCAAAGAUUAAGCCAUGCAUGUCUAAGUACAAGCCUCAGUAAGGUGAAACCGCGAAUGGCUCAUUAAAUCACACCUAAUCUACUGGAAAGUUACUAGUUACUUGGAUAACCGUGGUAAUUCUAGAGCUAAUACAUGCUGGUUAGCCUGACUUUUAGGAAGGGCUGUAUUUAUUAGAUAACAAACCAAUAUUCCUCGUGUCUAUUGUGAUGACUCAUAAUAACUGAUCGAAUCGCAUGGGCCUUGCCCGCGAUACAUCAUUCAAGUUUCUGCCCCAUCAGCUUUCGAUGGUAGUGUAUUGGACUACCAUGGCUUUAACGGGUAACGGAGGAUUAGGGUUCGAUUCCGGAGAGGGAGCCUGAGAAACGGCUACCACAUCUAAGGAAGGCAGCAGG
Molecule: ribosomal RNA, 400 nt
Filed under: uncultured Hypotrichia
Lineage: Eukaryota; Ciliophora; Spirotrichea
Description: partial small subunit ribosomal RNA
Rfam family: Eukaryotic small subunit ribosomal RNA
Source: RNAcentral